Molecule: long non-coding RNA, 368 nt
Filed under: Homo sapiens (human)
Lineage: Eukaryota; Metazoa; Chordata; Mammalia; Primates; Hominidae
Description: HSALNT0363389
Source: RNAcentral
UGUAGUUUGCACUCCGGACGCACUCAGGCUUGAGGACAGUGCUGGAAAGCCUGACCGCGACUCGGUGUUUAGAAAGCUCAAUUUAGGGCUGGGCUUGGCACGUUUCACAUCUGUCUGACGGAGGGUUCUUCGUGUACUGGGCAGUCCUAACUCGCAGCCGCGCGUCAUCACCCGCAUUUCAUAGAUGAAAAAACUGAGUCUCGGGAAACUCACUCAAGGUCAAAAACUUUGUGAGGAGCAGAGCUCAUAAGAGCCCGCGGUCUCCAGAACCCCACAACAACAUCUGAAAAUAUGAGAGCAGCCGCCUCACCCGCAACAGGGGGAGCCCCUCCUGCCACCAGGGGACCGUCGCCGCCCCUCGCGAGAAG